AGCGCCAGCGAGUCUUAAUAGGGCGUGAUAGUCGGAGUGAGUAGACGCGAAACCACGUGAUCUACCCUUGGUCAGGAUGAAGGUUGGGUAACACCAACUGGAGGUCCGAAUGGGUAUACGUUGAAAAGUGUUCCAAUGAACUGAGGGUAGGGGUGAAAGGCUAAUCAAACUUGGAGAUAGCUCGUACUCCCCGAAAUGCAUUUAGGUGCAGCCUUUAUUUAGUAUAGCAUGAGGUAGAGCGACUGAUUGGAUGCGAGGGCUUCACCGCCUAUCAAGUCCAGAUAAACUCCGAAUGCGUGCUAUAUAUUGAUAAGGAGUGAGGGCGCGGGUGCUAAGGUCCGCGUCCGAGAGGAGAAGAAUCCAGACCAUCAGCUAAGGUCCCCAAAUAACAGUUAAGUUGAACUAACGAAGUCGGACUGCAGAGACAGCUAGGAUGUUGGCUUGGAAGCAGCCAUUCAUUUAAAGAGUGCGUAACAGCUCACUAGUCGAGGAGUCCGGCGUGGAUAAUACUCGGGCAUAAACUGUUUACCGAAGCUAUGGAUGUGUAAACACAUGGUAGGGGAGCAUUCCAACGGCGUCGAAGGUGAAGGAUGACCUUUGCUGGAGCUUUUGGAAACGCAAAUGUAGGUAUAAGUAACGAUAAAGGAGGUGAGAAACCUCCUCGCCGAAAGACUAAGGUUUCCUGAUCAACGUUAAUCGGAUCAGGGUAAGUCGGGACCUAAGGUUAAGCCGAACGGCGAUACCGAUGGAAGAAUGGUUUAAUAUUCCCAUACUACUUUAUGGAGCGAUGUGGAGACGGAGAAGUGACAGUCCUGCCAUCUGACGGAAUAGGUGGUUGAAGAGUGUAGAUGUAGAUUCCUGUAGGCAAAUCCGCAGGGAGAGUCGACCUUGACAGUAUGCCGCGUGCUUGCACAAGGCAAAAUGGACGUAAUCAGGCUCCCAAGAAAAUCCGCUAAGCAUAUUCAUAAAGUACCCGUACCGUAAACGGACACACGUAGUUGGGUUGAAAAUACUGAGGCGCUCGAGUGAUUCACGGUUAAGGAACUAGGCAAAUUGACCCUGUAACUUCGGGAUAAAGGGUCCCUACUGAGAGGUAGGGCGCAGAGAAUAGGUCCAGGCAACUGUUUAACAAAAACACAUGGCUGUGCGAAAUAGAAACAUGAAGUAUACAGCCUGACACCUGCCCGGUGCUGGAAGGUUAAGAGGAGAGCUCAUCGCAAGAGAAGGCUUGAAUUGAAGCCCCAGUAAACGGCGGCCGUAACUAUAACGGUCCUAAGGUAGCGAAAUUCCUUGUCGGGUAAGUUC
Molecule: ribosomal RNA, 1305 nt
Filed under: human gut metagenome
Description: bacterial LSU rRNA
Rfam family: Bacterial large subunit ribosomal RNA
Source: RNAcentral